Molecule: long non-coding RNA, 2269 nt
Filed under: Mus pahari (shrew mouse)
Lineage: Eukaryota; Metazoa; Chordata; Mammalia; Rodentia; Muridae
Description: predicted gene 29325 (MGP_PahariEiJ_G0005918.1)
Source: RNAcentral
UUGCCUGGGAAGACAAGUGCGUCUCUCACCUACCUGUAGAGCAGCUGAGGGCUUAUCUGAGGGGUGCUGCAGUUGCUCUGACGAUUUUCAUGUUUCCUGUGGAAACCAUCCUGUCUCACAUACACUGCUCCUGGCUCUUUCGUUUCUGCCUUUCCUCUCUCACCUCCUGCCCAUUCCCCCAAUCUGAAUAAUCUUAGCAAUACAAUGUCUCUUUCUACCUAAAGUGGGGGUGCCAAGAGCAAGAGUUGAGCAAGAUAAUUUUAGACAUCAAAAGUGAUAGAAUCCCAGACUUUAUCUUGUUCACAUUCAUAUUUACCUUUUUUCAUGUCUCUAACAUUACUUCAAGAAGUGUCCACCCUCCUAAGAUCUAGAAGUCUGUCUUGUUAAAACCCAGUUGGUAAUGUUUGAUGAAUGAGUAAGUGAGUGAGUAAAUGAAUGAAUGAAUGAAUGAAACUGAAGUCAUACUUGAACUUCUACCAAAGAUGCUGGAGAAAUUGCUCUAUAUAUAUGAUAACUACCCUCCAAUAGCACAUAGCAGCAGAAAUUGAAGGUGUGUUCAUUUUGAAAGUUAGUCCUCAAAAAGAUGCCCUAAAGGGCACACUGAUUGUAUAGAGUCUUUAAGGGGGGGGGGGGUAGCAUUCUUUUUCCUUUCCUUUUUCUUUAUUCUGAUCUUGCAUCAAGCUGACUUAGCUUCCAGGUGGCUCCCUGGUGGGGCAAAGGGUAUGAAGCUGAUGUGCUAUAAAUUAUAGUGAUUACAACAUGACAGCAAGCCCCCAGCCGAGGCCUGGAACUCCCUGCUAGGAGGGCACUCAAGGACACUCAGUCUCCUGGAGGUUUAGGAGCUCAAAUGGCGUUGCCAGCUCCCAGAGCUUUUUAACUUCUAUAAUUCAGACACUUGUUGGAUGCAUUUUAUCUCCCAAUCAGUUUAAUUAGGAGAUGUCAGAUUAAAAGUGAUCUACUGCAUCUGAAAGGCACUUGAACUCCGAGACACACUUAAAAAAUUGUGAUCUUUCCUUGUCUCUCAUUCCAUCCCUCCAGCACCCAUGACAGGCAGUGUGAAGAAACAGAGCUUUGUGAAGCACCAGUGGCCAAAGUGGGGGUGGGGGUGGGGGGGCGGUAAGAACAGUGCAGUAGAGCUCAGGCAACAAGCAGUGUGGCAGGUGUCAGACACAACCCUUUCGAACAGCCAGGAUGAAAAUGAGUAUGCCUUUAUUUCCCGUCAUCAUCUCUUGCUUCUGGGUUUUUCUUUUGUAAAAAAAAAAAAGAAAGAACAGCUUUUUAACUGGCUCUGAGAUCAGAAAUGGCAAAAGGUAGACUGGGGUAUAAGCUAAAACUGAAGCAUCCGUGAAGUUAGGCAGCGAGGACGGAGAAGGCAGCACACGCUAGAAUCUCGGGGUCUCGAUUCUCUCAGUACCCAUCCAUUUGCAAGGACACAAUAAAAAAAAAAAAAAAAAAAAACUAUUGGCCACUGAAGAUCAGUAAUUCCAAAGCUACCAAGGUAAGAGCUAUGAAGUGAUCUUUUCCACUUGGACAGCUGCAAAUGAAAGAACUGUUUUCUGAAUAAAUUCUCUCAGCAGUGGCAAGCAGGGAGGCCACUCGGGACAGCCCCACAGCACGCGAUCUCACCUUCUGAGCUUUUCGGGCCAGGUGGAGGAACUGAGAGAGGAGAUGGGGGAAAGCUAUUUGCAAAGUUGUCUUUAUUAUACUAUACCAUGAUGCUUUAAAUUUUCAGAUAAAAAGAGCCUGCUUGGUUAAUGAUUAAUAGAUAUGACUAGAAAGGAGAAGACCUUAAAUAGGUCAGAUCAAGUGUAUUGGAGGCAGCCCUAUAAGAUACUAACAGAGACUAAACAGGUUUUAACUGCAGAUAUUGCUAUUAUAUGUUUGUAUAUUUAUUAUUAAAAUUUCAUUAGUCUUUUCCUCCUUGGUUUAAGAAAAGCAAAGUAGACAUCCCAAUGGGAUUUGACUGUGCUGUGUUUGUCGUCUCCAUUGAGCCCAUUCCAAUCUGUCUUGGGUCCAGUGAACUCCAGAAAGAGGCUGUGAGAAUGGAACUAUAUUAAGAACAACACCCUUAGCUAACUACAAAGGGCUUUUCCAACUCUAUGACCUUCCACAUUGAGUACAUGGAACCCUAGCACAGAGCUAGCCAUGUACUUUCAAUUUCUGGGUAGAAACUGUUACACAAAUGAGCUGUAAGAUCUCUGACACCCAGCAACUUAGUCUACUAGUGGCUGGUUCAAAUCUCAGAAUAAAUAAUUUUACUAAAUUGUGG